This 71-nucleotide transfer RNA is filed under the name Candidatus Woesearchaeota archaeon. Its description in RNAcentral is "tRNA-His". It matches the Rfam family "tRNA". Rfam says of the family: Transfer RNA (tRNA) molecules are approximately 80 nucleotides in length. Their secondary structure includes four short double-helical elements and three loops (D, anti-codon, and T loops). Further hydrogen bonds mediate the characteristic L-shaped molecular structure. tRNAs have two regions of fundamental functional importance: the anti-codon, which is responsible for specific mRNA codon recognition, and the 3' end, to which the tRNAs corresponding amino acid is attached (by aminoacyl-tRNA synthetases). tRNAs cope with the degeneracy of the genetic code in two manners: having more than one tRNA (with a specific anti-codon) for a particular amino acid; and 'wobble' base-pairing, i.e. permitting non-standard base-pairing at the 3rd anti-codon position. Lineage: Archaea; Nanobdellati; Candidatus Woesearchaeota. The record is from RNAcentral.
GCGGUUGUGGUGUAACGGCAGCACGCAAGACUGUGACUCUUGCAGACCGGGUUCAAGUCCCGGCUACCGCC